Carlito syrichta (Philippine tarsier) is the source of this 119-nucleotide ribosomal RNA. The record is from Ensembl. NCBI's taxonomy places the organism in Eukaryota, Metazoa, Chordata, Mammalia, Primates, Tarsiidae.
AAUGGGAGCCAUACCACCCUGCAUGUGCUCCAACUUGAAAGUUAAGCAGGAUCAGGUCUGGUUAAUACUUGGAUGGGAGAAGUACACAAAAUGCCUGAGAAAACACCAGCCAACCAUCU